This is a long non-coding RNA of Piliocolobus tephrosceles (Ugandan red Colobus), 427 nucleotides long. RefSeq lists it as uncharacterized. The record is from RefSeq and is a predicted model, not a curated record. Lineage: Eukaryota; Metazoa; Chordata; Mammalia; Primates; Cercopithecidae. The transcript is spliced from 2 exons.
AAAAAUGUUAACAGAUAGUAAUUGAUAAAUACUAUUUUGAAUAAAUAAAUUUACAUUAAUAUUGAAAAAUUAGUAUAUACAUUUACAAAAAUGUGACAUAAUAUGAAUAUAUUUGUAAGAGUUAUUAUAAAUAUCGUAAAAAGUGAAUAAUGAAGGUUUUUAUAAUUUGUGAAAAUAAAAUAUUACUUUUUUUUAAACACUAAACAAUUUUAAACUUUAGUAUCAAAAUAUAAGCAUAUUUUGUGUAGGAUCUCUCAAUGUGUUUUUUUUAUGCAUACAAUAAAUGAAAGUAACAUUUUAUGAAAAUUCUGUAUAUAAUGUAAAAUCUAAAAAAAAAAGAAUUGAAAUUAAUAUAAUAUUGAAAAAAGUAGAAAAGUUAAAUGAAGCAUUAUUAAAAGCUAUAAAAGAGGAAUCUCUGGAUUUAGAA